GCUUACGGCCAUACCACCCUGAGCACGCCCCAUCUCGUUCGAUCUCGGAAGCUAAGCAGGGUCGGGCCUGGUUAGUACUUGGAUGGGAGACUGCCUAGGAAUACCAAGUGCUGUGAGCU
This 119-nucleotide ribosomal RNA is filed under the name Betta splendens (Siamese fighting fish). Lineage: Eukaryota; Metazoa; Chordata; Actinopteri; Anabantiformes; Osphronemidae. The record is from RNAcentral.